UGAUAAACAAAAAAGUGCUCUGCACUCAAGUGUUCCGGUUAACAGACAGUGUUCCGGUGUUGUGGUAUGUAUCUAUUCCGGUAAACAAAAAAGUGAUCUGCAUUCAAGUGUUCUGGUUAACAAAAAGUGAUCCGGUGUUGCGGAUCAUGUAUAUCCAUCUAUUCCGAUAAACAAUAAAGUGCUAUGGUGCUGCAGAUGCAUACAUGAAUCCACGAUUUUUCCCUUCAAUCUCAUGUACAAUGGCUAGUUGGAAAUGAGGAUUUUUCCAUUCAAUCUCAUGUGUAUGCAUCUAUAUGUCGGUGACAGAUACUGUAUGGGUGAUUGUUUCCUGUAAAAACAUGGGCACCUUUCAUUCAUGAUUGUAUGCCGUCACUUUUUACCUUUCCUUUCACCAAUAUGUAAUUAAAUUAAGUUUGUAAUUUACCGGAAUACUAUUUUUUACCGGAACACUUGAGGCUGCUCUUUUUUAGAGUUACCGGAAUACUUUAUUCAACUGUUCUGGAUUGUAAUUUUUUUACCGAAACACUUAAUCGGGGUGAAGAGAAAUAAUAAAAGAGGGUAAAAUGGGAAUAAUGGGUUGUUUGUAGGGGUAAAG
RNAcentral lists this long non-coding RNA (595 nucleotides) under Trifolium pratense (red clover). RNAcentral describes it as "long non-coding RNA (TPRA_LNC005397)". The record is from RNAcentral. Lineage: Eukaryota; Viridiplantae; Streptophyta; Magnoliopsida; Fabales; Fabaceae.